UUUGGGCUGUAUCUCAGUGGUAGAGCGCUUGCCUAGCAUGUGCAAGGCCCUGGGUUCCAUCCACAGCACAAAA
RNAcentral lists this transfer RNA (73 nucleotides) under Marmota monax (woodchuck). RNAcentral's name for it is "tRNA.Ala". Lineage: Eukaryota; Metazoa; Chordata; Mammalia; Rodentia; Sciuridae. The record is from RNAcentral.